RNAcentral lists this long non-coding RNA (640 nucleotides) under Felis catus (domestic cat). RNAcentral describes it as "lncRNA (ENSFCAG00000045508.2)". The record is from RNAcentral. Lineage: Eukaryota; Metazoa; Chordata; Mammalia; Carnivora; Felidae.
CAGAUGCAGCUGCAUUUCUGACAAGAGUUCUUGGCCACCCCUGCUCUGUCUCCAUCCAGAAUAGUUCUUGCGGGGCACACUGCUCAGAUAUGAUAUAAAGGUAUUGGAAAGAAAACCUCUCUUAUGGAAACAGCAACAAAUUCCAAACUAUCUGGGUAGCACAAGCAAUUUACUCUCCUUCAACUUAAAGAAUUGUUGCUUUAUGGCCAUUUUCCUUGAGUUUAUUGAUUUCAUAUGCAGUUUUUUUUUUACAAUGCCAUAAUGCAUCUGGGCUUCAUGCACAGAGACAGAAAGGAUAACUAACAUUGGUGUCAUCUGUCAACCCAAAGUAAUCAAUGGCACCUGGUCUCUACUUAGAAGUGCAAAGCAUCAAGGAGCAAAGUCUCUUCAAUCAAAGUGCCUCAAGGACAAGAAAGCUCAUGUUUAUCAACUCCAGGUAUUUAUUCACUGUACCUUAUUUACAACAUGCCACUCAGGCCAUGAUUUGACACUGUUUCACUAUGGUUCCAGAAGAUGUUUUCCACUGGAGAUAAUGGCCACCCUACUCCUCUGAACUAGCAAAAUCACCUUCCCCUGCUAACCAUAUGACAGGACUCAAGACUCCAAACAUGCCCCAUGAAUAAAUGUUCUCAAACACCCA